AAGUCGUAACAAGGUUUCCGUAGGUGAACCUGCGGAAGGAUCAUUAGCAAGAUUGCCCCUCUGUGAUUCUCUAGAAAAGGGAGAUGUGGGGGGCAAGUAUGCCAUCCUUGUGCUGUGUUUUUGUAUGUUGGAGUGCUCACGCAUAACAGUUUGGGCACUCCUACCUUUUUAAUACCCAUCUCUACAUAUAUUUCUUAACCUCUUUUUUGUCUGGCAACAGGCAUCAAAAAAAAACAAUCGAAAACUGCCAGCAAUGGAUCACUCGGUUCUC
Molecule: unclassified non-coding RNA, 271 nt
Filed under: fungal sp.
Lineage: Eukaryota; Fungi
Description: partial internal transcribed spacer region
Rfam family: Eukaryotic small subunit ribosomal RNA (bases 1-46)
Source: RNAcentral